UUCCCAUUAAUUCUUGGCCUCCAGGCAC
RNAcentral lists this non-coding RNA (28 nucleotides) under Mus musculus (house mouse). Lineage: Eukaryota; Metazoa; Chordata; Mammalia; Rodentia; Muridae. The record is from RNAcentral.